GUGCUCACUUCAGCAGCCCAUAUACUAGAAUUGGAAUGAUACAGAGAUUAGCAUGGCUUCUGCGCAAGGAUGACAUGCAAUUUGUGAAGAGUUCCAUAUUCUU
Small nuclear RNA from Camelus dromedarius (Arabian camel), 103 nucleotides. The record is from Ensembl. Lineage: Eukaryota; Metazoa; Chordata; Mammalia; Artiodactyla; Camelidae.